Molecule: ribosomal RNA, 270 nt
Filed under: uncultured bacterium
Lineage: Bacteria
Description: partial 16S ribosomal RNA
Rfam family: Bacterial small subunit ribosomal RNA
Source: RNAcentral
AACGAACGCUGGCGGCAUGCCUCAUACAUGCAAGUCGAACGCAGGCUUCGGCCUGAGUGGCGCACGGGUGAGUAGCGCGUGGGAACCUACCCUUUUGUGGGGGAUAACCGAGGGAAACUUCGGCUAAUACCGCAUACGCCGGGAAACCGGGAAAGAUUUAUCGCAGAAGGAUGGGCCCGCGUCGGAUUAGCUAGUUGGUGGGGUAACGGCCCACCAAGGCUACGAUCCGUAGCUGGUCUGAGAGGAUGAUCAGCCACACUGGGACUGAGA